GGAAGCGUGGCAGAGUGGUUGAAUGCACCUGACUUGAAAUCAGGCAUUGGGGCAACCCAAUCCGGGGUUCGAAUCCCUGCGCUUCCGCCA
Molecule: transfer RNA, 90 nt
Filed under: Rickettsiales bacterium
Lineage: Bacteria; Pseudomonadati; Pseudomonadota; Alphaproteobacteria; Rickettsiales
Description: tRNA-Ser
Rfam family: tRNA
About the family: Transfer RNA (tRNA) molecules are approximately 80 nucleotides in length. Their secondary structure includes four short double-helical elements and three loops (D, anti-codon, and T loops).
Source: RNAcentral